RNAcentral lists this unclassified non-coding RNA (149 nucleotides) under uncultured Phoma. RNAcentral describes it as "sequence contains ITS2". The record is from RNAcentral. Lineage: Eukaryota; Fungi; Ascomycota.
ACACCCUCAAGCUCUGCUUGGUGUUGGGCGUCUGUCCCGCCUCGUGCGUGGACUCGCCCCAAAGGUAUUGGCAGCGGUCGUGCCAGCUUCUCGCGCAGCAUACGCGCUACGGAGGCGGGUCGGUCGGCGUCCACAAGCUCAUUUUACCC